CAGCCUCCGCGGUUAUACGAGAGACCCAAGUUGUUAGCCCCCGGCGUAAAGAGUGGUUAGAUACUAAAUACCAAACUGAGGCCGAACACCCUCAAGGCAGUUAUACGCUCCCGAGGGCAUGAAGAACAAUUACGAAAGUAGCCUCACCCCCCUUGAACCCACGAAAGCUAGGACACAAACUGGGAUUAGAUACCCCACUAUGCCUAGCCCUAAACAAUGAUACCAAUAUACACUCCCCAUCCGCCCGGGUACUACGAGCAUUAGCUUAAAACCCAAAGGAACUUGGCGG
This 289-nucleotide ribosomal RNA is filed under the name Dichotomyctere fluviatilis (green pufferfish). Its description in RNAcentral is "partial 12S ribosomal RNA". It matches the Rfam family "Bacterial small subunit ribosomal RNA", at positions 509 to 916 of the family's 1533-position model. Lineage: Eukaryota; Metazoa; Chordata; Actinopteri; Tetraodontiformes; Tetraodontidae. The record is from RNAcentral.